GAUGAACGCUGGCGGCGUGCCUAACACAUGCAAGUCGAACGGAGUUCUUAAGGAAUGCGACUUCGGUCAAAUGACUUUUGAACUUAGUGGCGGACGGGUGAGUAACGCGUGAGCAACCUGCCUUUCAGAGGGGGAUAACAUUUGGAAACAGAUGCUAAUACCGCAUAAGAUUACAGUACCGCAUGAUACAGUGAUCAAAGGAGCAAUCCGCUGAAAGAUGGGCUCGCGUCCGAUUAGAUAGUUGGUGAGGUAACGGCUCACCAAGUCGACGAUCGGUAGCCGGACUGUGAGGUUGAACGGCCACAUUGGGACUGAGACACGGCCCAGACUCCUACGGGAGGCAGCAGUGGGGGAUAUUGCACAAUGGGGGAAACCCUGAUGCAGCGACGCCGCGUGGAGGAAGAAGGUUUUCGGAUUGGUAAACUCCUGUCGUUAGGGACGAUAAUGACGGUACCUAACAAGAAAGCAACCGGGCUAAACUACGUGCCAGCAGCCGC
RNAcentral lists this ribosomal RNA (497 nucleotides) under uncultured bacterium. RNAcentral describes it as "bacterial SSU rRNA". It matches the Rfam family "Bacterial small subunit ribosomal RNA", at positions 28 to 518 of the family's 1533-position model. The record is from RNAcentral.